This 702-nucleotide ribosomal RNA is filed under the name Triticum aestivum (bread wheat). Its description in RNAcentral is "partial small subunit ribosomal RNA". The record is from RNAcentral. Lineage: Eukaryota; Viridiplantae; Streptophyta; Magnoliopsida; Poales; Poaceae.
AUGAAAAAACAUGAGAGCCUGGAGCGUGACUCGAAGACUCGAGAGUCUGAGCUUGCAACGGCUCUUGAGAGUGCCAAAGCCACUAAGGCCGAAGCCUACAAGGCCCUCCAAGAGAUUGAGGCGGUGAAGAAAAUAGCAGCGGGUAAGGCAUUUUUCAUGCAAAGUAAGCAUGUGAGUGUUAAUUACCUGUUGCUUACCCGAUUUCGGAGCUCUCCAGGAGCGUUCGCAGAUCUUCCUUGCAGCGUGUCCGAUGCUGCCGCAUUCUACCGGGCCGAGGAGGGGAGCUUGACGGAGAAGGUCUUCUGGUCUCAGUAUGCUGAGGACGGACAUCCGGUGCCCCUUAGCGACCAGCUGAAGCAGCUGGUCGAGCUCCACAAGGCGGCCGAACAGGCUAUGAAGGGCCUCAUAGUUCGGCUGUGGCCUAAGGAGGCCAUGCCUGGGAGCUACUUUAGCCUAGUGCGGAGGCUGGUGGAUGCGUGCCCGUGGGUUGAAGUCAUCAAGCACUCCGCCUGUAUUGAGGGUGCCCGUCGGGCCCUUGCCCGCGCAAAGGUGCACUGGGGCAAGAUGGAUGCCCAGAAGCUUGUGACGGACCUGCCACCAGAGGGAAAGGAGCAUCGCAUGCCCGAGAUGUAUUAUAAGAGUGUGCUGAAGGGUGCCCGCACUAUUGCGGGGGAGUGCUCCAAAGAUGUAAUUUUUGAGUAG